GCGAAAGCGAGUCUUAACUGGGCGCUCAGUCUCUGGAUAUAGACCCGAAACCGGGUGAUCUAGCCAUGGGCAGGUUGAAGGUUGAGUAACAUCAACUGGAGGACCGAACCGACUAAUGUUGAAAAAUUAGCGGAUGACUUGUGGCUAGGGGUGAAAGGCCAAUCAAACUCGGAGAUAGCUGGUUCUCCCCGAAAGCUAUUUAGGUAGCGCCUCGGACGAAUACUACUGGGGGUAGAGCACUGUUAAGGCUAGGGGGUCAUCCCGACUUACCAACCCUUUGCAAACUCCGAAUACCAGUAAGUACUAUCCGGGAGACACACGGCGGGUGCUAACGUCCGUCGUGGAGAGGGAAACAACCCAGACCGCCAGCUAAGGUCCCAAAGUAUUGCUAAGUGGGAAACGAUGUGGGAAGGCUCAGACAGCUAGGAUGUUGGCUUAGAAGCAGCCAUCAUUUAAAGAAAGCGUAAUAGCUCACUAGUCGAGUCGGCCUGCGCGGAAGAUGUAACGGGGCUAAGCAAUACACCGAAGCUGCGGCAAUGUCUUUUAGACAUUGGGUAGGGGAGCGUUCUGUAAGCCGUUGAAGGUGAAUCGUAAGGUUUGCUGGAGGUAUCAGAAGUGCGAAUGCUGACAUGAGUAACGACAAAGGGGGUGAAAAACCUCCUCGCCGGAAGACCAAGGGUUCCUGUCCAACGUUAAUCGGGGCAGGGUGAGUCGACCCCUAAGGUGAGGCCGAAAGGCGUAAUCGAUGGGAAACGGGUUAAUAUUCCCGUACUUCUGACUAUUGCGAUGGGGGGACGGAGAAGGCUAGGUGGGCCAGGCGACGGUUGUCCUGGUUCAAGUGCGUAGGCUUGAGAGUUAGGUAAAUCCGGCUCUCUCUAAGGCUGAGACACGACGUCGAGCUACUACGGUAGUGAAGUCAUUGAUGCCAUGCUUCCAGGAAAAGCCUCUAAGCUUCAGAUAGUCAGGAAUCGUACCCCAAACCGACACAGGUGGUCGGGUAGAGAAUACCAAGGCGCUUGAGAGAACUCGGGUGAAGGAACUAGGCAAAAUGGUACCGUAACUUCGGGAGAAGGUACGCUCUUGAUGGUGAAGUCCCUCGCGGAUGGAGCUGACGAGAGUCGCAGAUACCAGGUGGCUGCAACUGUUUAUUAAAAACACAGCACUGUGCAAAAUCGCAAGAUGACGUAUACGGUGUGACGCCUGCCCGGUGCCGGAAGGUUAAUUGAUGGGGUUAGCGCAAGCGAAGCUCUUGAUCGAAGCCCCGGUAAACGGCGGCCGUAACUAUAACGGUCCUAAGGUAGCGAAAUUCCUUGUCGGGUAAGUUCCGACCUGCACGAAUGGCGUAAUGAUGGCCACGCUGUCUCCACCCGAGACUCAGUGAAAUUGAAAUCGCUGUGAAGAUGCAGUGUACCCGCGGCUAGACGGAAAGACCCCGUGAACCUUUACUACAGCUUGGCACUGAACAUUGAACCUACAUGUGUAGGAUAGGUGGGAGGCUAUGAAGACGUGACGCCAGUUGCGUUGGAGCCGUCCUUGAAAUACCACCCUUGUAUGUUUGAUGUUCUAACUUAGACCCAUUAUCUGGGUUGAGGACAGUGCCUGGUGGGUAGUUUGACUGGGGCGGUCUCCUCCCAAAGAGUAACGGAGGAGCACGAAGGUGGGCUAAUCACGGUUGGACAUCGUGAGGUUAGUGCAAUGGCAUAAGCCCGCUUAACUGCGAGAAUGACGGUUCGAGCAGGUGCGAAAGCAGGUCAUAGUGAUCCGGUGGUUCUGUAUGGAAGGGCCAUCGCUCAACGGAUAAAAGGUACUCCGGGGAUAACAGGCUGAUACCGCCCAAGAGUUCAUAUCGACGGCGGUGUUUGGCACCUCGAUGUCGGCUCAUCACAUCCUGGGGCUGAAGUCGGUCCCAAGGGUAUGGCUGUUCGCCAUUUAAAGUGGUACGCGAGCUGGGUUUAGAACGUCGUGAGACAGUUCGGUCCCUAUCUGCCGUGGGCGUUGGAAGAUUGAAGGGGGCUGCUCCUAGUACGAGAGGACCGGAGUGGACGAACCUCUGGUGUUCGGGUUGUGUCGCCAGACGCAUUGCCCGGUAGCUAAGUUCGGAAUUGAUAAGCGCUGAAAGCAUCUAAGCGCGAAGCGAGCCCUGAGAUGAGUCUUCCCUGACAGUUUAACUGUCCUAAAGGGUUGUUCGAGACUAGAACGUUGAUAGGCAGGGUGUGUAAGCGUUGUGAGGCGUUGAGCUAACCUGUACUAAUUGCCCGUGAGGCUUAACCAUACAACACCCAAGGGGUUUUGUA
This 2294-nucleotide ribosomal RNA is filed under the name Vibrio cholerae O1 biovar El Tor. Its description in RNAcentral is "bacterial LSU rRNA". It matches the Rfam family "Bacterial large subunit ribosomal RNA", at positions 671 to 2925 of the family's 2925-position model. Lineage: Bacteria; Pseudomonadati; Pseudomonadota; Gammaproteobacteria; Vibrionales; Vibrionaceae. The record is from RNAcentral.